RNAcentral lists this ribosomal RNA (225 nucleotides) under Triticum aestivum (bread wheat). Its description in RNAcentral is "partial small subunit ribosomal RNA". The record is from RNAcentral. Lineage: Eukaryota; Viridiplantae; Streptophyta; Magnoliopsida; Poales; Poaceae.
AUGAAUUAUCUAAGCUGGAACUGCCGGGGGCUUGGGAACCCCGAGGCAGUUCGAGAGCUUCGCAAGAUUGUGAAGCAAGAAGGGCAUUCCCUAGUUUUUGUUAUGGAAACAAAGAUUAGGGCGACAAGGGUGGAAAGCUUAAAGCACUCACUUGGGUUUGCGGGAUGUUUCGCGGUUGAUAGUAUUGGUCUCAGUGGUGGAAUUGGAUUGUUUUGGUCCAAGGAC